AAUCGCUAGUAAUCGCGGAUCAGCAUGCCGCGGUGAAUACGUUCCCGGGCCUUGUACACACCGCCCGUCACACCACGAGAGUUUGCAACACCCGAAGUCGGUGAGGUAACCUUUAUGGAGCCAGCCGCCGAAGGUGGGGCAGAUGAUUGGGGUGAAGUCGUAACAAGGUAGCCGUAUCGGAAGGUGCGGCUGGAUCACCUCCUUUCUAAGGA
Molecule: ribosomal RNA, 212 nt
Filed under: Bacillus altitudinis
Lineage: Bacteria; Bacillati; Bacillota; Bacilli; Caryophanales; Bacillaceae
Description: partial 16S ribosomal RNA
Rfam family: Bacterial small subunit ribosomal RNA
Source: RNAcentral